Molecule: ribosomal RNA, 253 nt
Filed under: uncultured bacterium
Lineage: Bacteria
Description: partial 16S ribosomal RNA
Rfam family: Bacterial small subunit ribosomal RNA
Source: RNAcentral
GACAGAGGGUGCAAACGUUGUUCGGAAUUACUGGGCGUAAAGCGCGUGUAGGCGGUCGUGCAAGUCGGGAGUGAAAGCCCGGGGCUCAACCCCGGAACUGCUUUCGAAACUGCUGAGCUAGAGUACAGAAGGGGCAACCGGAAUUCCCAGUGUAGCGGUGAAAUGCGUAGAUAUUGGGAAGAACACCUGAGGCGAAGGCGGGUUGCUGGGCUGAUACUGACGCUGAGGCGCGAAAGCCAGGGGAGCAAACGGG